AACUUUCAACAACGGAUUUUUUGGUUCUGGCAUNNGAUGAAGAACGCAGCGAAAUGCGAUAAGUAAUGUGAAUUGCNGAAUUCANUGAAUCAUCGAAUCUUUGAACGCACAUUGCGCCCGCCAGUAUUCUGGCGGGCAUGCCUGUCCGAGCGUCAU
This 156-nucleotide ribosomal RNA is filed under the name leaf litter ascomycete strain its080. RNAcentral describes it as "5.8S ribosomal RNA". It matches the Rfam family "5.8S ribosomal RNA". Rfam says of the family: 5.8S ribosomal RNA (5.8S rRNA) is a component of the large subunit of the eukaryotic ribosome. It is transcribed by RNA polymerase I as part of the 45S precursor that also contains 18S and 28S rRNA. Lineage: Eukaryota; Fungi; Ascomycota. The record is from RNAcentral.